Molecule: transfer RNA, 74 nt
Filed under: bacterium
Lineage: Bacteria
Description: tRNA-Trp
Rfam family: tRNA
About the family: Transfer RNA (tRNA) molecules are approximately 80 nucleotides in length. Their secondary structure includes four short double-helical elements and three loops (D, anti-codon, and T loops).
Source: RNAcentral
AUCUCUCUAGUGUAAUGGCAGCACAACGGUCUCCAACACCGUUUGUCAGGGUUCGAGUCCUUGGGGGGAUGCCA